UCUAAGACAAGCGCUGCCUCAGCGCCCACCCUCUAUCGGCUGUUCCUCACACGAACAGCACAUCAUUUAAGCGACCCAGGCGGGUCUGUAGCUCAGUUGGUUAGAGCACCGUCUUGAUAAGGCGGGGGUCGAUGGUUCGAAUCCAUCCAGACCCACCAACUGACUCGAGCACCAGGCGGGGCCAUAGCUCAGCUGGGAGAGCGCCUGCUUUGCAAGCAGGAGGUCAUCGGUUCGAUCCCGAUUGGCUCCACCAGCAACUGGCUAGAUACACACGAGGCUGCAGCGACGAACGCCACGAGCUGGCGUUCAUCGGUGCGUCUUCACGAGCACUUCGGCUGUUCUUUAACAAUCUGGAAUGAAGGUAAAAGUUAGUUCUCUUCGCGAGGGCGUGGCGGGGUAUCGCGCGUCGCGAGCGGGGAGGGCGAACUGGGUUAUGUAUUGCAUCGUGUUGCCGCGGCUAACCACUGCGGUGACGCACAAGCGCGAGAGUUGCCUGUAAUCGAGUGAUGGUGUGAGCGACUUUGGUUCACAUCGCCCUUAAGCAUCAUCGGGGGCAGCAAGGGUAUAGGGUCAAGCGAAUAAGUGCAUGUGGUGGAUGGCUUUGGCAUGAUAGGCGAUGAAGGACGUGACAGCCUGCGAAAAGCUGCGGGGAGCCGGCAAAUGGGCGCUGAUCCGCAGAUAU
RNAcentral lists this unclassified non-coding RNA (682 nucleotides) under uncultured beta proteobacterium. RNAcentral describes it as "partial contains 16S ribosomal RNA, 16S-23S ribosomal RNA intergenic spacer, and 23S ribosomal RNA". The stretch from base 569 to 682 matches the Rfam family "Bacterial large subunit ribosomal RNA", at positions 1 to 113 of the family's 2925-position model. Lineage: Bacteria; Pseudomonadati; Pseudomonadota; Betaproteobacteria. The record is from RNAcentral.